GGUAUUAGAAAGUAAUGCCCACCUGGAAAUCCUAGCUUCGGUUCUCGUACUUUGGAGCAAUCUUACUUAUGCCCUCGACUCGUGUCUUCAGGUAUCAUCAUUGACGUAGACGGUUCAUGUAAUAAAAUAAACGUCGAUCAGACAAAACCUCACUAAGUUCACUGUUCUCAUCUUAGUACUACUCUUCCUUUCUCAUUGGUACCUUCUAACUAGUUAUUCUUAUAAUAAAAAUACUUCCUAAAUAUUUACCGUUUCUACCCUCGACUCAUCACCAAAUUCGGUUGAGUAAAUUAAGCACGAAAUAAGCUUCAUAUCUAUAUAUGUAUAUAUAUACUCCAUAGCAUUUUUAUGAAUUAAUACAGUGUAUACUUAUCGCCAUUAACACAUGCAAUUAUAAUAAAUCAAAGGUAGGAGUGUCGUGAAUGCCUAUUACUAGACCUCAUAUACUCUGUCCCAACUUCAAGCAAUAAACUGUUUUACCUCGGAACUUCCCUGGGUUUGGAAUUCAUACCAAUUGAAACCUCUUGAAGUCUAGUUUCAUUUAAAAAAAAAAUAGGUUGCAAAACUCUAAGUGGUUCAGGAGAUAUGACCAUUUUCCCACAGCCUACCAUAUUCGGCAGUUUUGUGCAACUGGAAGGUUUGAUUUUUGAAAAAUAGUAGAUCUUGUCAAAAUGACUUGAAGUUUUGUGGGUAGCUAGCUAACAUAUUCAUCUUGUUCAUAUAAAAAUUUGGAAACCAUAAACUCAGGGGAAGCUACUGGAAAGGUGACUCUAGUAUCUGUUUCUUCCAAACUUUCGGUAGAAAAUUGCAGUUGGAGAUUAAUAAUUUAAAAGGGUAUCAAACAAUGUCCAAAUACUUAAAAUUUUGCAUGAGCGUUUCUAAAACUUAUAUAUACUUACCAUAAAAUUUCAAUAUUUUUGGGUAUCAAUAACCCUGUCGAAUUCAAUCAAGUCAGUAGUUUUUUGUAAGCUAGCCAAUUAACUCAUCAAUUAGCCAAUCUUUAGCAUAUAGCCAAGUAUACCUUAUUUCCCAUCAAACCAAUUCAUCAUAAUCUUUAUCAAUCAUCUCUAAUCAUCAUUUUAAUCAAUCAACUAUGAUACCUACAAUCUCAUAAACUCAUAUUCUUACCCAAAUCCUCAUUUACUUCAUGAACUUCAAAUUUCCAACAUCACACAAACUAACACCUUCAAUAAUCCAUAUCACAAAAUAAAUCCAUGCUUUUCAUUCAAAAGACAAAUAAAUAACAUCUUAAUAGCAUGUAUAUACUCUCCACUUAAGGUUAGAAGAUGACAAUAUUUUAGAAGACUUCCACCCCUAGUAAUUUUCGAAAAUAUUGAAGAAAAGAUGAGGUGAUGUUUUCAUGCUUUGAUCCUCCAUUUAUAAGUUUAUCAAGCUUAACUAUAAGUAGAUUCAUGUGUUUAGAAGCUUACUCUAUGAUUUUUGAAGAGAAAAGUAUAGCUCCUCCUUCUUGAAACCAAGCUUUCAAUCACAAUCUAGCUUUUGAUUUAUGGAAAUAAUGAUGUUUUGUGCUUGAUUUUAGAGCUUUCUAUGGUGUAGAAUUGAUCUAUGGAGCUUUAGUUAUGCCCAACAAUGGUGGUUGAUGAAGAAAGAGAGAGAGAAGAGAGAAGAAAGGGACGGC
Molecule: long non-coding RNA, 1639 nt
Filed under: Salvia miltiorrhiza (redroot sage)
Lineage: Eukaryota; Viridiplantae; Streptophyta; Magnoliopsida; Lamiales; Lamiaceae
Description: long non-coding RNA (SMIL_LNC000602)
Source: RNAcentral